Poecilia latipinna (sailfin molly) is the source of this 552-nucleotide long non-coding RNA. RefSeq lists it as uncharacterized. Lineage: Eukaryota; Metazoa; Chordata; Actinopteri; Cyprinodontiformes; Poeciliidae. The record is from RefSeq and is a predicted model, not a curated record. The transcript has 3 exons.
AGGAUCUGGGGAAGGCUGGUUGGGGGGUCUCUAGUUUCUCCACCAGGGGGCAUCCUGGGACCUUCUGGAGGGCGUGAACCUGGAGCUGCACACCUGCUGCCACUUACCAUUGUUUGGAGGGGUUUAUCAGGACGGAGCCGCCGACACUCCAGUGCCAGAGUGUUAGCCUGUGAUGGUUGUCGUUCCGUGAAGCCCUGAGUUUCUUCAAACUUCUACGAACCUGGGCAGAUUACCAAAGAUCCUCGAGACCCCGCGGAGUCUACCCGUUGGUGGCCACGUCCGUGAGACCAGCUCUCAGUUCUGUCGGUGGCAGAUCCCUGGUCAAGCGGAUCCCUUCCGGCACCUUGUCUGAGAUCUCCCUCCACUCACCUGUCCGCCCUCUAGAGAAACUCACGCCCUCGUUCCAGCCUGCAGCUCCGGAUCCUAGCGGUUCACCUCUCCAUGCUCAGACGAGCUCACCAGCAAAUCCAGAACCACGCAGACGAGCACCAGUUCCGGACCUCCUUGUACAUACCUGUUAGCACUGUAUUUAAUAAACCACCAUAACCUUUA